GCUGCUGUGGCACGGCGGGGCGGCGCUGCUGCUGCUGGCGCUGACGGCCGGGCUCGGCGACCGGCUGCUGCU
This 72-nucleotide transfer RNA is filed under the name Siccirubricoccus deserti. Its description in RNAcentral is "tRNA-Ser". The record is from RNAcentral. Lineage: Bacteria; Pseudomonadati; Pseudomonadota; Alphaproteobacteria; Acetobacterales; Roseomonadaceae.